RNAcentral lists this ribosomal RNA (292 nucleotides) under uncultured bacterium. Its description in RNAcentral is "partial 16S ribosomal RNA". It matches the Rfam family "Bacterial small subunit ribosomal RNA", at positions 505 to 796 of the family's 1533-position model. The record is from RNAcentral.
GUGCCAGCAGCCGCGGUAAUACGUAGGGUGCAAGCGUUAAUCGGAAUUACUGGGCGUAAAGCGUGCGUAGGCGGGUCUUUAAGCCAGGGGUGAAAGCCCGGAGCUCAACUUGGGAAUGGCGCUUGUGACUGCAAGGCUAGAGUAUGUCAGAGGGGGGUAGAAUUCCACGUGUAGCAGUGAAAUGCGUAGAGAUGUGGAGGAAUACCGAUGGCGAAGGCAGCCCCCUGGGACGUCACUGACGCUCAUGCACGAAAGCGUGGGGAGCAAACAGGAUUAGAUACCCUGGUAGUCC